Molecule: ribosomal RNA, 322 nt
Filed under: uncultured eukaryote
Lineage: Eukaryota
Description: partial 18S ribosomal RNA
Rfam family: Eukaryotic small subunit ribosomal RNA
Source: RNAcentral
CCCUUAGAUGUCCUGGGCCGCACGCGCGCUACACUGACAUGUUCAACAAGUUUCUCCUAGUUCGACAGGACUGGGAAAUCUUUGAACGCAUGUCGUGAUAGGGAUAGAUCAUUGCAAUUAUUGAUCUUGAACGAGGAAUUCCUAGUAAACGCGAGUCAUCAGCUCGCAUUGAUUACGUCCCUGCCCUUUGUACACACCGCCCGUCGCACCUACCGGUUGAAUGUUUCGGUGAAGAUUCCGGAUAGGACUGAUUUGAUUUAUUUCAUUUCUGACCUAAAAGCUAUCUAAACCUCAACAUUUAGAGGAAGGUGAAGUCGUAACA